RNAcentral lists this long non-coding RNA (368 nucleotides) under Hordeum vulgare. Its description in RNAcentral is "long non-coding RNA (HVUL_LNC004656)". Lineage: Eukaryota; Viridiplantae; Streptophyta; Magnoliopsida; Poales; Poaceae. The record is from RNAcentral.
GUAUAUAACAUACCCGAGGUAAGUACCCGAUCAAUGCCUUUCCCCUGACGAUACUAGAAGGAGAGGUCCACUCGAUUGGUACCCAACCCACAUGUUGUACGUCUUACGAGCACCGACUUUGGACAAUAUCAACCAUGCGGGGACCAACGGUGUGCGUGGAACUCAUAAAAAUGGCAUAGUCGUCCUACCUCGCACGACCCCAUCACGAGAGUGACCACACAUCACUCCCGCCACUAGUAAUGUGGCUCUUUGCUAGCACCGAUAGAGUAAUCAACAUAGCCCGUCCCAUAAGGGGUAACCUGGUCGUACUGGUAAGGUUGGGACGGUCCACACAUCGUAAACCUAAUCCCAUUUCCGAAACCAUACUC